AUUGAACGCUGGCGGCAUGCUUUACACAUGCCAGUCGAAUGGCAGCGCGGGCUUCGGCCUGGCGGCGAGUGGCGAACGGGUGAGUAAUGCAUCGGAACGUGCCCAGUCGUGGGGGAUAGCCCGGCGAAAGCCGGAUUAAUACCGCAUACGACCUGAGGGUGAAAGCGGGGGACCGAAAGGCCUCGCGCUAUUGGAGCGGCCGAUGUCGGAUUAGCUAGUUGGUGGGGUAAAGGCUUACCAAGGCGACGAUCCGUAGCUGGUCUGAGAGGACGACCAGCCACACUGGGACUGAGACACGGCCCAGACUCCUACGGGAGGCAGCAGUGGGGAAUUUUGGACAAUGGGGGCAACCCUGAUCCAGCCAUGCCGCGUGCGGGAAGAAGGCCUUCGGGUUGUAAACCGCUUUUGUUCGGGAAGAAAUCCUCUGGGCUAAUACCCCGGGGGGAUGACGGUACCGGAAGAAUAAGCACCGGCUAACUACGUG
RNAcentral lists this ribosomal RNA (484 nucleotides) under uncultured bacterium. RNAcentral's name for it is "partial 16S ribosomal RNA". It matches the Rfam family "Bacterial small subunit ribosomal RNA", at positions 28 to 507 of the family's 1533-position model. The record is from RNAcentral.